AACGCUAGCUACAGGCUUAACACAUGCAAGUCGAGGGGCAGCAUUUCAGUUUGCUUGCUUACUGGAGAUGGCGACCGGCGCACGGGUGAGUAACACGUAUCCAACCUGCCGAUAACUCGGGGAUAGCCUUUCGAAAGAAAGAUUAAUACCCGAUGGUAUAAUCAGACCACAUGGUCUUAUUAUUAAAGAAUUUCGGUUAUCGAUGGGGAUGCGUUCCAUUAAGCAGGUGGUGAGGUAACGGCUCACCAAACCUUCGAUGGAUAGGGGUUCUGAAAGGAAGGUCCCCCACGUUGGAACUGAAACACGGUCCAAACUCCUACGGGAGGCAGCAGUGAGGAAUAUUGGUCAAUGGGCGCAGGCCUGAACCAGCCAAGUAGCGUGAAGGAUGACUGCCCUAUGGGUUGUAAACUUCUUUUAUAUGGGAAUAAAGUUUUCCACGUGUGGAAUUUUGUAUGUACCAUAUGAAUAAGGAUCGGCUAACUCCGUGCCAGCAGCCGCGGUAAUACGGAGGAUCCGGGCGUUAUCCGGAUUUAUUGGGUUUAAAGGGAGCGUAGGUGGACAGUUAAGUCAGUUGUGAAAGUUUGCGGCUCAACCGUAAAAAUUGCAGUUGAUACUGGCUGUCUUGAGUACAGUAGAGGUGGGCGGAAUUCGUGGUGUAGCGGUGAAAUGCUUAGAUAUCACGAAGAACUCCGAUUGCGAAGGCAGCUCACUGGACUGCAACUGACACUGAUGCUCGAAAGUGUGGGUAUCAAACAGGAUUAGAUACCCUGGUAGUCCACACAGUAAACGAUGAAUACUCGCUGUUUGCGAUAUACAGUAAGCGGCCAAGCGAAAGCAUUAAGUAUUCCACCUGGGGAGUACGCCGGCAACGGUGAAACUCAAAGGAAUUGACGGGGGCCCGCACAAGCGGAGGAACAUGUGGUUUAAUUCGAUGAUACGCGAGGAACCUUACCCGGGCUUAAAUUGCAUUUGAAUAAUCUGGAAACAGGUUAGCCGCAAGGCAAAUGUGAAGGUGCUGCAUGGUUGUCGUCAGCUCGUGCCGUGAGGUGUCGGCUUAAGUGCCAUAACGAGCGCAACCCUUAUCUUUAGUUACUAUCAGGUCAUGCUGAGGACUCUAGAGAGACUGCCGUCGUAAGAUGUGAGGAAGGUGGGGAUGACGUCAAAUCAGCACGGCCCUUACGUCCGGGGCUACACACGUGUUACAAUGGGGGGUACAGAAGGCAGCUACCUGGUGACAGGAUGCUAAUCCCAAAAGCCUCUCUCAGUUCGGAUCGAAGUCUGCAACCCGACUUCGUGAAGCUGGAUUCGCUAGUAAUCGCGCAUCAGCCAUGGCGCGGUGAAUACGUUCCCGGGCCUUGUACACACCGCCCGUCAAGCCAUGAAAGCCGGGGGUACCUGAAGUACGUAACCGAAAGGAGCGUCCUAGGGUAAAACUGGUAA
RNAcentral lists this ribosomal RNA (1440 nucleotides) under uncultured organism. Its description in RNAcentral is "SSU rRNA". It matches the Rfam family "Bacterial small subunit ribosomal RNA". The record is from RNAcentral.